CAGGUCUCCGUAGGUGAACCUGCGGAGGGAUCAUUA
RNAcentral lists this ribosomal RNA (36 nucleotides) under Curvularia spicifera. RNAcentral's name for it is "partial 18S ribosomal RNA". Lineage: Eukaryota; Fungi; Ascomycota; Dothideomycetes; Pleosporales; Pleosporaceae. The record is from RNAcentral.